This 74-nucleotide transfer RNA is filed under the name Melanthalia intermedia. RNAcentral describes it as "tRNA-Arg". It matches the Rfam family "tRNA". From Rfam's summary of the family: Transfer RNA (tRNA) molecules are approximately 80 nucleotides in length. Their secondary structure includes four short double-helical elements and three loops (D, anti-codon, and T loops). Lineage: Eukaryota; Rhodophyta; Florideophyceae; Gracilariales; Gracilariaceae. The record is from RNAcentral.
GGGCCUGUAGCUCAGUGGAUUAGAGCACGUGGCUACGAACCACGGUGUCGGGGGUUCAAAUCCCUCCUUGCCCA